Molecule: ribosomal RNA, 497 nt
Filed under: uncultured bacterium
Lineage: Bacteria
Description: partial 16S ribosomal RNA
Rfam family: Bacterial small subunit ribosomal RNA
Source: RNAcentral
GAUGAACGCUGGCGGCGUGCCUAAUACAUGCAAGUCGAGCGAACAGACGAGGAGCUUGCUCCUCUGACGUUAGCGGCGGACGGGUUAGUAACACGUGGAUAACCUACCUAUAAGACUGGGAUAACUUCGGGAAACCGGAGCUAAUACCGGAUAAUAUAUUGAACCGCAUGGUCCACUAGUGAAAGACGGUUUUGCUGUCACUUAUAGAUGGAUCCGCGCCGCAUUAGCUAGUUGGUAAGGUAACGGCUUACCAAGGCAACGAUGCGUAGCCGACCUGAGAGGGUGAGCGGCCACACUGGAACUGAGAAACGGUCCAGACUCCUACGGGAGGCAGCAGUAGGGAAUCUUCCGCAAUGGGCGAAAGCCUGACGGAGCAACGCCGCGUGAGUGAUGAAGGUCUUCGGAUCGUAAAACUCUGUUAUUAGGGAAGAACAAAUGUGUAAGUAACUAUGCACGUCUUGACGGUACCUAAUCAGAAAGCCACGGCUAACUACGUG